RNAcentral lists this long non-coding RNA (522 nucleotides) under Bos taurus (domestic cattle). RNAcentral describes it as "long non-coding RNA NONBTAT017323". Lineage: Eukaryota; Metazoa; Chordata; Mammalia; Artiodactyla; Bovidae. The record is from RNAcentral.
GUAACUUGAGUUUUAUUGUUCACUACCAUGCUAUUACUCUUCUAUACAGACUUGGCAUUUGCAUUUUAAGUCCAAAGAAUGUCUCAUUUCUUUAUUAUAUUUAAAACAGAGGUAUUACAAAGGAGAAAGUAACAACGAUGCUUUCUAUUUUAUAUCCAUGAAGUAAUUAGUACAUGAAGCAUUAAUCUGGCACAUGUUUUAAGCAUGCACACAGUAUGUUCCACAUCUUUUUGCGUUAAAACAGAAAGACAUUACAAAGAUGAAUGCAGAAACAGUAAGCUCUACGGUUUUUUUUUCUAAAAGAAAUUUUAGGAUAUUUACAUAGUCAUGUUUAUUUUAUAGUAACUCUGUAGCUGAACAAUUUAUUAUGUUAAUACAGAAAUACAAAGAGCUUUAUCAAACAAAAUACUUACUAUUUUCUAGCUGCCUUACAGAAAUGAUUUACUCAAGAAAACAGAACAAAAUUUCUCAGUUUCAUUAAUCAGCUUUGUAAAUAUUUUGCCAGAGCUUUGUUUUCCUGGG